GAUGAAGAACGUAGCGAAAUGCGAUACUUGGUGUGAAUUGCAGAAUCCCGUGAACCAUCGAGUCUUUGAACGCAAGUUGCGCCCGAAGCCAUUAGGCCGAGGGCACGCCUGCCUGGGUGUCUCACGUCGUUGCCCCCCCAUCUACUCCUUCGGGAUUGCGGGGGGCGGAUGAUGGCCUCCCGUGCGCCUCGUCGCGCGGUUGGCAUAAAUGCCAAGUCCUCGGCGACGCACGCCACGACAAUCGGUGGUUGCGAAACCUCGGUUGCCCGUCGUGUGCGGUCGUCGCGCAUCGAGGGCUCGAAAAAAUUGCCGGGCUCCGGCUCGGCUUUCAACGCGACCCCAGGUCAGGCGGGGUUACCCGCUGAAUUUAAGCAUAUCAAUAAGCGGAGGA
RNAcentral lists this unclassified non-coding RNA (391 nucleotides) under soil metagenome. RNAcentral describes it as "partial contains 5.8S ribosomal RNA, internal transcribed spacer 2, and large subunit ribosomal RNA". The stretch from base 1 to 122 matches the Rfam family "5.8S ribosomal RNA", at positions 35 to 154 of the family's 154-position model. The record is from RNAcentral.